RNAcentral lists this ribosomal RNA (492 nucleotides) under uncultured bacterium. Its description in RNAcentral is "partial 16S ribosomal RNA". It matches the Rfam family "Bacterial small subunit ribosomal RNA", at positions 29 to 507 of the family's 1533-position model. The record is from RNAcentral.
AGUGAACGCUGGCGGUAGGCCUAACACAUGCAAGUCGAACGGCAGCACAGUAAGAGCUUGCUCUUACGGGUGGCGAGUGGCGGACGGGUGAGGAAUACAUCGGAAUCUACUUUUUCGUGGGGGAUAACGUAGGGAAACUUACGCUAAUACCGCAUACGACCUACGGGUGAAAGCAGGGGAUCUUCGGACCUUGCGCGAUUGAAUGAGCCGAUGUCGGAUUAGCUAGUUGGCGGGGUAAAGGCCCACCAAGGCGACGAUCCGUAGCUGGUCUGAGAGGAUGAUCAGCCACACUGGAACUGAGGCACGGUUCAGACUCCUACGGGAGGCAGCAGUGGGGAAUAUUGGACAAUGGGCGCAAGCCUGAUCCAGCCAUACCGCGUGGGUGAAGAAGGCCUUCGGGUUGUAAAGCCCUUUUGUUGGGAAAGAAAAGCAGCAGGUUAAUACCCCGCUGUUCUGACGGUACCCAAAGAAUAAGCACCGGCUAACUUCGUG